RNAcentral lists this ribosomal RNA (214 nucleotides) under uncultured bacterium. RNAcentral's name for it is "partial 16S ribosomal RNA". It matches the Rfam family "Bacterial small subunit ribosomal RNA", at positions 1279 to 1500 of the family's 1533-position model. The record is from RNAcentral.
AAUCCUCUCUCAGUUCGGAUUGGAGUCUGCAACCCGACUCCAUGAAGCUGGAUUCGCUAGUAAUCGCGCAUCAGCCACGGCGCGGUGAAUACGUUCCCGGGCCUUGUACACACCGCCCGUCAAGCCAUGAAAGCCGGGGGUACCUGAAGUGCGUAACCGCGAGGAGCGCCCUAGGGUAAAACUGGUGAUUGGGGCUAAGUCGUAACAAGGUACC